Molecule: long non-coding RNA, 2766 nt
Organism: Chrysolophus pictus (golden pheasant)
Lineage: Eukaryota; Metazoa; Chordata; Aves; Galliformes; Phasianidae
Source: Ensembl
UCCCUGUCCUUGUAGUUGCCCCCAUCCCAAUGUCCCCAAUCUCCCCAUCCCCACUUUCCCCAUCCCAAUGUCCCCAAAAUCCCCAUCCCCACUGUCCCCAAAAUCCCCAGUGUCCCCAAUCUCCCCAUCCCAACAUCCCCAACCCUACCCUUCUUGUCCCCAUCCCAAAUGUCCCCAAUCUCCCCAUCCCCACUGUCCCCCAUCCCAUUGUCCCCCAAUCUCCCCAUCCCAACAUCCCCAUCCCUGUCCUUGUAGUUGUCCCCAUCCCAACGUCCCCAAUCUCCCCAUCCCCACUGUCCCCCAUCCCAUUGUCCCCAAUCUCCCCAUCCCCACUUUCCCCAUCCCAAUGUCCCCAAUCUCCCCAUCCCCACUGUCCCCAAUCCCAAUGUCCCCAAUCUCCCCAUCUCCAAAGUCCCCCAUCCCCACUGUCCCCAUCCCAAAUGUCCCCAAUCUCCCCAUCCCCACUGUCCCCAAUCCCAACGUCCCCAAAUCCCCAUCCCAACAUCCCCAUCCCUAUCCUUCUUGUCCCCAAUCCCAACGUCCCCAAAUCUUCCCAUCCUCCAACCGUGGGUGCAGACCAGCCCGACCAGCUCAUCCGGUGCUGUGACACGUGGGGCCACGGGGACAAGUUUGGUGACACGUGUGGCCACGUGGGGCCAUGGGGACAAGUUUGGUGACACGUGUGGCCACGGGGACGAAUUCGGUGACACGUGUGUCCCCAUAUCGGGACACGUGUGUCCACGGGGACAGGGACAAGGAUGGUGCCACGCCGCAAGGGCUUUAUUGGGACCGCGGGGAGGGUGACAGCGCCAUUCCCCUAUUUGUCACAUCCCCCACAGCCCGAUUCCUGCCCCGAUCCACUGCUGGAUCCCGAUUCGUAGGUCCCGGAUCCGGAGCUGUAAGCAUAUCCUGCAUUAGGACCGUGGCGGAUGGGGAUGUGACCCCCAAUCCUGGCUGGAUCCCGAAGCCCCGGCACGAAGGGGAUCCCAGGGUUCUUGUAUACGGGGCGCAGGGAUCCGCUUCCAUAGGAUCCCGAUCCCCCAUAGGAUCCCGAUCCGCCUCCGUAGGAUCCCGAUCCCCCAUAGGAUCCCGAUCCGCCUCCGUAGGAUCCCGAUCCCCCAUAGGAUCCCGAUUCCCCCUCCGGAAGAUCCUGAUCCCCCAUAGGAUCCCGAUCCGCCUCCAGAAGAUCCCGAUCCCCCAUAGGAUCCCAAUCCCCCAUAAGAUCCCGAGUCUUCUCCAUAAGAUCCCGAGUAACCCCCAUAAGAUCCUGGUCCGCCCCCGUAGGAUCCCGAAUCAUAUCCAUAGGAUGCGGGGAGCCCAUAGGAUCCCGAGCUGCCUCCAUAGGAGCUUGAUCCCCCAUAGGACCCCGAUCCGCUGCCUCCUUGGGAUCCACUCCCCCCUUGGGAUCCAGGUCUUCCUGAUCCACUUCCCCCUUGGGAUCCAGGUCUCCCUGAUCCUGAUCCCGAUCCCGAUCCCGAUCCCCCUUGGGAUCCAGGUCUCCCCGAUCCCGAUCCUCCUUGGGAUCCAGGUCUUCCCAAUCCAUAGGGCAGAAGUCCAUAGGAUCCUGGUGGCCCACCAGAUUCCGGCGAGACGAAAGAUCCUGAUCCGUCCCCUUGGGAUCCCGGUCGGCUUCCGUAGGAUCCUGGUUUACCUCCACUGGAUUCCGGUGACACAUAGGACCCAGAUCCACUUCCUCGUCCUGGCGAUGCCCCCGAUCCACCCCCAUAGGAUCCUGAUCCGCCCCCAUAGGAUCCUGAGCUGCUCCCAUAGGAUCCCGAUCCACCGCCAUGGGAUCCCGAUCCACUUUGGGAUCCCGGUCUGCCCCCAUAGGAUCCCGAACUGCUCCCAUAGGAUCCCGAUCCACCGCCAUGGGAUCCCAAUCCGCCAUAGGAUCCCGGUCCGCUGUAGGAUCCCGAGCUGCUCCCAUAGGAUCCCGGUCCACUAUAGGAUCCCCCUCCCCCUCCGGAGGACCCCGCUGCGUCCCCCCCAGUUUGGGGGCUGAGGAAUCCAGUGGGUUCCUUGCAGGGAUCCACCCCGGCCAUCAGCGGGCUCAGAUGGGAUCCCGAGUCGCAGUCGGAAGCAGCGCCUGGAGAAGUGGAGGGGAGCCUGUCUGCGUCCCCCCCAGUUUGGGGGCUGAGGAAUCCAGUGGGUUCCUUGCAGGGAUCCACCCCGGCCAUCAGCGGGCUCAGAUGGGAUCCCGAGUCGCAGUCGGAGGCAGCGCCUGGAGAAGUGGAGGGGAGCCUGUGCCAGUCCAUCCCAGUCCAUCCCAGUUUGUUCCAGUCCAUCCCAGUCCAUCCCAGCCCAUCCCAGUCCAUCCCAGUCCAUCCCAGUCCAUUCCAUUCCAUCCCAUCUCACCCCAGUCCAUCCCAGUCCAUCCCAGUGCAUCCUAGUUUAUCCCAUCUCACCCCAGUCCAUCCCAGUCCAUCCCGGUCCAUCCCAGAUUGCCCCAGUCCAUCCCAGUCCAUCCCAGUCCAUCCCAGCCCAUCCCAGUCCAUCCCAGUGCAUCCUAGUUUAUUCCAUCUCACCCCAGUCCAUCCCAGUCCAUUCCAUUCCAUCCCAUCUCACCCCAGUCCAUCCCAGUCCAUCCCAGUCCAUCCCAUCUCGCCCCAGUCCAUCCCAGUUCAUCCCAACCCCAGCUCACCCCAGCAUCCAUUUCAUUUCAUCCCAGUCCCAUCCCAGUCCCUCCCAGUCCAUCCCAGUCCAUCCCAUUUCCCACCCCAAUCACUCCCAGUUCUCCCAGUCCCCCUCCCAGCCCCUCCCAGCGCC